AUUUGGCAAAUGCCAGUAUUCGUCGUCACAUUUCUGGAUGUGUGCAUACAGCUAUUACAUUGAACCGAGACAUCGAUCUGCAUCAUGUGCGAAUGGAUCGGCGGGCAGGAUACGAUGAAUGCUAACAGGACUGUCACCUUGAUAGUGAAGUCAUAGAUCAAGGAGAAAAACCACAUGCCAAGAACACGAUCCGGUAAUACCGGUCACAGACAAUGCAAAGAUGAAGCAACAGGGAUGAGCGAAACCAUUAGACCCGGUAAAAGUAAUCAUGGUCAAUCUUCCACAACAGAUGAAGCUACAAGAAAAAUGCUGAGGUGAGGACAAGAUAUGUCCCUAAAUCCCUGGAAAGAAGAACAGCUGCUUUAGUAAGGUUGAUUUUCUCUCGAUGAUCUGAGGACUGUGAUCCCUUGAUGUCAGGCGCUCAACGUCGAAUGCAACCUACAAAGGCACAUU
RNAcentral lists this unclassified non-coding RNA (453 nucleotides) under Haliotis rufescens (red abalone). Its description in RNAcentral is "uncharacterized LOC124112818, transcript variant X1". The record is from RNAcentral. Lineage: Eukaryota; Metazoa; Mollusca; Gastropoda; Lepetellida; Haliotidae.